GGCGGCAGGGUAGCCUAGUGGUUAGAGUGUAGAGGCGGCAGGGUAGUCUAGUGGUUAGAGUGGAGGGGCGGCAGGGUAGCCUAGUGGUUAGAGUGGAGGGGCGGCAGGGUAGCCUAGUGGUUAGAGUGUAGAGGCGGCAGGGUAGCCUAGUGGUUAGAGUGGAGGGGCGGCAGGGUAGCCUAGUGGUUAGAGUGGAGGGGCGGCAGGGUAGCCUAGUGGUUAGAGUGGAGGGGAGGCAGGGUAGCCUAGUGGUUAGAGUGGAGGGGCGGCAGGGUAGCCUAGUGGUUAGAGUGGAGGGGCGGCAGGGUAGCCUAGUGGUUAGAGGGGAGGGGCGGCAGGGUAGCCUAGUGGUUAGAGUGGAGGGGCGGAAGGGUAGCCUAGUGGUUAGAGUGGAGGGGCGGCAGGGUAGCCUAGUGGUUAGAGUGGAGGGGCGGCAGGGUAGCCUAGUGGUUAGAUUGUAGAGGCGGCAGGGUAGCCUAGUGGUUAGAGUGGAGGGGCGGCAGGGUAGCCUAGUGGUUAGAGUGGAGGGGCGGCAGGGUAGCCUAGUGGUUAGAGUGGAGGGGCUGCAGGGUAGCCUAGUGGUUAGAGUGUGGAGGCGGCAGGGUAGCCUAGUGGUUAGAGUGGAGGGGCGGCAGGGUAGCCUAGUGGUUAGAGUGGAGGGCGGCAGGGUAGCCUAGUGGUUAGAGUGGAGGGGCGGCAGGGUAGCCUAGUGGUUAGAGUGGAGGGGCGGCAGGGUAGCCUAGUGGUUAGAGUGGAGGGGCGGCAGGGUAGCCUAGUGGUUAAAGUGGAGGGGCGGCAGGGUAGCCUAGUGGUUAGAGUGUAGAGGUGGCAGGGUAGCCUAGUGGUUAGAGUGGAGGGCGGCAGGGUAGCCUAGUGGUUAGAGUGGAGGGGCGGCAGGGUAGCCUAGUGGUUAGAGUGUAGAGGCGGCAGGGUAGCCUAGUGGUCAGAGCGUUGGACUAGUAACCUAAAGGUUGCAAUUCAAAUCCCCGAGCUGACAAGGUACAAAUCUGUUGUUCUGCCCCUGAACAGGCAGUUAACCCACUGUUCCUAGGCCGUCAUUGUAAAUAAGAAUUUGUUCUUAACUGACUUGCCUAGUUAAAUAAAGGUCAAAUAAAAAAAAUAGUAUAAUUUAUACCUCUAAUAUCUCUACUACCAUUACCACUAGCAUCAUUUAUACCUCUAAUAUCUAUG
Oncorhynchus tshawytscha (Chinook salmon) is the source of this 1191-nucleotide long non-coding RNA. Lineage: Eukaryota; Metazoa; Chordata; Actinopteri; Salmoniformes; Salmonidae. The record is from Ensembl.